AGAGACAAAGUGAACAAAUAGUACCGUAUAUGGACAGAAAAGACGUUUACGUCACCACAACUUCUUAAUAUUUAGUUAUAUAACGUUAGCUUUUUGAAUUCGUAACGUUAUAGCUAACCAGACUAAUUAGCCCCACUUUUAGGAUUUAGGGCGCUCAAUAAACACAUAAUUGGCUAGGGUUAGGAGAAAGUUGCAAUUUUGGUGGAGAGACAGUCCAGUCCUAAGUAAAACUGUGUCUGUGUGCUCUGUGAACAAGUGGCCUGCUCAAGGGUCGAUGCGAAAGGCCAAUAGUUUGUCGGAGUGCAGAUUGUU
Molecule: long non-coding RNA, 312 nt
Organism: Thunnus maccoyii (southern bluefin tuna)
Lineage: Eukaryota; Metazoa; Chordata; Actinopteri; Scombriformes; Scombridae
Exons: 3
Source: RefSeq, a predicted model, not a curated record